AUACUCUCUUCGGCGGUACAUACACUAAAAUUGGAACGAUACAGGGAAGGUAAGCGGGGCACCUGCGCAAGGAUGACACGCAAUAUCGCAGCGCCCUGUGUAA
Molecule: small nuclear RNA, 103 nt
Organism: Schistocerca gregaria
Lineage: Eukaryota; Metazoa; Arthropoda; Insecta; Orthoptera; Acrididae
Source: RefSeq, a predicted model, not a curated record